GGCAUAUCAUUCCGAUUCCAUUUCUGAGUCAAGUUCGUCCAGUCUGUGCGCAAAAAACAUUUUGGUGGGAAAAUUUAAAAAUAUUUACUAACGCGCUGAUCUUGGGCAUCAAUGGUGCAUAUAGAGGAAUCGAGUUGACUAAUAUCACUAUUAACAGACACAUAGUGACAUUCAAAAUGCGAGACACCAAAACUAAGACUGCCAAAUCAUUUGUGAUUCGGGAUGAAAUUAUGAAUAUUUUUAAAAACAACUCAAAAUAUAUUGUUUUGGCCGCUAACACUAUCAUAACAGCCAAGUCUCGUGAAGAUCUACACGACGCCUCGUCAGCAUCACACCAGCAACAUCAAUCACCUUACACAGAUCAACAGCCAGGCUCCCGUGACCCUCCAGUUUACAUUAAGCAUUGUAGUCCUGAUGAGAAAAUCAAAAUUGAUACCCACCCAAAAUCUUCCAGCACACGUUCACUGCCAUGUGAUAUUUAUCAUUAUUAUAUUAUCAUUAUAUUAUUAUUAUCAACCACCAUUAUACACUGCAGCCAGAUUGGAGAUUGGCCACUUGGUGGAUCAAAUUCUCAGCCACUAUUGCCUGCUCAGCGGGAAGUAAGGACAAGUGAACUGUCAACCAGUGUCACGGCAUCCUCACAGCCAGGGUCAGUUUCAAAUAAACAGCAAACGAAUAUUCAUGGACCUCGUGAAAAAAGAGCAGUUACAAUAACCACUAGCCCUAAUAUGUCAAAUGUUAAUUUUCCAUCCAAUGAUGCACCUGGUAGAACAAGAACAAUUACAAUAACGACUAGCCCUAAUAUGUCAAAUGUUGAUUUUCAAAUCAAUGAUCAACCUGGUGGAACAAUAACAGUAACAAUAACCAGUUGCCCUAAUAUGUCAAACGUUAAAUUUAUUUUCAAUGCUGGACCUGGUUCAACAAUAACAGCUACACUAACCAAUUGUCCUAAUAUGUCAAAAGUGACAUUUAUUUUCAAUGCUGCACCUGGUAGAACAAUAACAGUUACAUUAACGGAUCGCCCUAACAUGUCAAACGCUGAAUAUAUUUACAACUAAAUUUGUCACAAUCAUGUAAAUUUCUUGUUAUAGGUAACAUACUAAGAGCAUUUUUCGCAAAAUGCCCUUAGUAUAUUAUACAACGCAUAAUUGUUCGAAUCCGACUUGAAUCUACCGCGAUUAGACAUGGGUAGCGGGUAAAUACCUGAGGCAGAUAUUGGGUAUAUUUCGGGAAUUUACCCGGUACAUAUUUACCUUUUCUAUCCGAAUGAGUGGGUAUAAAUAAAAGUAGGACACGGAGUUAUAAAUUAAAUUGAAAUGAUGUAGAAAUAGCUUUACAUGACCAUUCAUGUAGUUUUAAAAACAUACAAUAUUUUGUAUAGUUACAAGUAAAAUUGACUAAAGGAAAUCGUCAAAUGUUUUAUAUAUUUACCAAUAGUCGCUAGGACACCCCGAAAUUCAAUAAAAGGCCGCAAAUGGUGUUAAAAGUAUGAAAAUCGAUACGAUUGAUCUUUGAAUUGAUGAAAAAUAAAGAAUAAACUAAAUGUACAAUGUUACAUAUGAAGAUAUUAAGUAUAAUUUGAGGUAUAUCUUACAUAAAAAAAUAUAUCGGUAUCGUACCUGGAGAAGCCCAAACUUGGUAUGUUUUGAAAAUUAUUUUUAUUUUAACUAAAUAAAGUGACUGGAAUGUAUUGAUGUGAUUUUAAGAAUCGGCUCUAAAAGCCCUUUCAUUUAAUAUAACACACGAUAGGUUUCUAGACAAAAAAAUAUACUUCCCAUACGAAAAAAAGAUGACGUCAUAACUCCUCUCCAUUUUUAGGGUUCCGUAGCCAAAUGGCAAAAAACGGAACCCUUAUAGAUUCGUCAUGUCCGUCUGUCUGUCCGAUUCUGUCACAGCCACUUUUUUUUUUGGUUCUACGGGUCAAAUUGAUCCAAAUUGCUUUUAGACCUUUAGGUCAAUCGUACUGAUGUAUGCUUUCAACACAUUUUGCAGCGGUUUUUGGCGUACCGCUAGAGUCAGACUAAGAUAAGUUGGCAGCGAUUUUUAUAGCCCAAACAGCGCAAGUGUUAUUUUAAACGUCAAACUUCUAUGAAAUUAUGACGUUUACUGUACAUUGUCUGACUCUAGCACAAUAUGAAAUACCGUUUUUACUACUUUACGUAAAUACUAUUUUUACUAUUAAGUAAAAUGAUUUUUCUUCUGAGAGAUUCUUCCGAGUCUUAUAUAUUAUAUACUUUUCUAUGCACUGACCUUAUCAGUUUUUGUUAAAGUAUCUGAAAUAUAUAGUAAGUAAAUAAAGUGACUAUAUGUUUGAUA
This is a long non-coding RNA of Cydia pomonella (codling moth), 2316 nucleotides long. RefSeq lists it as uncharacterized. The record is from RefSeq and is a predicted model, not a curated record. NCBI's taxonomy places the organism in Eukaryota, Metazoa, Arthropoda, Insecta, Lepidoptera, Tortricidae. The transcript is spliced from 2 exons.